This 93-nucleotide transfer RNA is filed under the name Flexistipes sinusarabici DSM 4947. Its description in RNAcentral is "tRNA-Und (NNN) (tRNA-Und-NNN-1-1)". Lineage: Bacteria; Pseudomonadati; Deferribacterota; Deferribacteres; Deferribacterales; Flexistipitaceae. The record is from RNAcentral.
GUAAGUACAAAAUUAUGAAAAUUACAUAGCGUAGGACUUAAAAUCCUGUGGGAGCCUGCUCCCGUGCCGGUUCGAUUCCGGCCCCGGGCACCA